GACGAACGCUGGCGGCGUGCUUAACACAUGCAAGUCGAGCGAUGAAGCACCUUCGGGUGUGAAUUAGCGGCGAACGGGUGAGGAACACGUGAGAAAUCUGCCUUCAACUCUGGGAUAACUCCGGGAAACCGGGGCUAAUACCGGAUAUGAGCCUUGAUCGCAUGAUCGGGGCUGGAAAGUUUUUCGGUUGAAGAUGAUCUCGCGGCCUAUCAGCUUGUUGGUGAGGUAAUGGCUCACCAAGGCGACGACGGGUAGCCGGCCUGAGAGGGCGACCGGCCACACUGGGACUGAGACACGGCCCAGACGCCUACGGGAGGCAGCAGUGGGGAAUAUUGGGCAAUGGAGGAAACUCUGACCCAGCGACGCCGCGUGAGGGAUGAAGGCCUUCGGGUUGUAAACCUCUUUCAGUAGGGAAGAAGCGAAAGUGACGGUACCUACAGAAGAAGCACCGGCUAACUAUGUGCCAGCCGCCGCCGUAA
Molecule: ribosomal RNA, 479 nt
Filed under: uncultured bacterium
Lineage: Bacteria
Description: partial 16S ribosomal RNA
Rfam family: Bacterial small subunit ribosomal RNA
Source: RNAcentral